AUUGAACGCUGGCGGCAUGCCUUACACAUGCAAGUCGAACGGCAGCACGGACUUCGGUCUGGUGGCGAGUGGCGAACGGGUGAGUAAUGUAUCGGAACGUACCUUUCAGUGGGGGGAUAACGUAGCGAAAGUUACGCUAAUACCGCAUAUUCUGUGAGCAGGAAAGCAGGGGAUCGCAAGACCUUGCGCUGAUUGAGCGGCCGAUAUCAGAUUAGCUAGUUGGUGGGGUAAAGGCCUACCAAGGCUACGAUCUGUAGCGGGUCUGAGAGGAUGAUCCGCCACACUGGAACUGAGACACGGUCCAGACUCCUACGGGAGGCAGCAGUGGGGAAUUUUGGACAAUGGGCGAAAGCCUGAUCCAGCCAUGCCGCGUGCGGGAAGAAGGGCCUUCGGGUUGUAAACCGC
Molecule: ribosomal RNA, 405 nt
Filed under: uncultured bacterium
Lineage: Bacteria
Description: bacterial SSU rRNA
Rfam family: Bacterial small subunit ribosomal RNA
Source: RNAcentral